Long non-coding RNA from Leptopilina boulardi, 373 nucleotides. RefSeq lists it as uncharacterized. NCBI's taxonomy places the organism in Eukaryota, Metazoa, Arthropoda, Insecta, Hymenoptera, Figitidae. The record is from RefSeq and is a predicted model, not a curated record. The transcript has 3 exons.
UCUUCAUGUAUCUGUUUUUCAAAAAAUACCCAAGUGUCAAAUUUUAAAAUAUAUAUAUAUAAUUACAAUAUUUCAUUGUAAUUUCUUUAUAAGAAAUAUAUUUCUUUCUUUAAAAAAAGUUUUACAAAAAAGAAUUUUUCUUUUUUGUAGAAAAUUUCAACGUAGGAAAAUACAGAUAGAAAGAAAACUUCAAGGAUUUAUUAACAACAAGCCAGUGAAAAAGUACAAGAAAAAAUCAAUAUAUAUUAAAGGAGAAUUCACCAUCAUCGAACGUACUCAUACAAUUACGCACAUUCUACCUCUACAACUUUAUUAUAUAUAUAUAUAUAUAUAUAUAUAUAUAUAUUAAAUUAAUUUGUCAUGUAAAUAUUCU